UAUCAUGCAGUCGAACGCUUCUUUCCUCCCGAGUGCUUGCACUCAAUUGGAAAGAGGAGGGCGGACGGGUGAGUAACACGUGGGUAACCUACCCAUCAGAGGGGGAUAACACUUGGAAACAGGUGCUAAUACCGCAUAACAGUUUAUGCCGCAUGGCAUAAGAGUGAAAGGCGCUUUCGGGUGUCGCUGAUGGAUGGACCCGCGGUGCAUUAGCUAGUUGGUGAGGUAACGGCUCACCAAGGCCACGAUGCAUAGCCGACCUGAGAGGGUGAUCGGCCACACUGGGACUGAGACACGGCCCAGACUCCUACGGGAGGCAGCAGUAGGGAAUCUUCGGCAAUGGACGAAAGUCUGACCGAGCAACGCCGCGUGAGUGAAGAAGGUUUUCGGAUCGUAAAACUCUGUUGUUAGAGAAGAACAAGGACGUUAGUAACUGAACGUCCCCUGACGGUAUCUAACCAGAAAGCCACGGCUAACUACGUGCCAGCAGCCGCGGUAAUACGUAGGUGGCAAGCGUUGUCCGGAUUUAUUGGGCGUAAAGCGAGCGCAGGCGGUUUCUUAAGUCUGAUGUGAAAGCCCCCGGCUCAACCGGGGAGGGUCAUUGGAAACUGGGAGACUUGAGUGCAGAAGAGGAGAGUGGAAUUCCAUGUGUAGCGGUGAAAUGCGUAGAUAUA
This 674-nucleotide ribosomal RNA is filed under the name Enterococcus sp. Its description in RNAcentral is "bacterial SSU rRNA". It matches the Rfam family "Bacterial small subunit ribosomal RNA", at positions 51 to 698 of the family's 1533-position model. The record is from RNAcentral. Lineage: Bacteria; Bacillati; Bacillota; Bacilli; Lactobacillales; Enterococcaceae.